UUUUACCUGAGUGUGCGUUAGGGAUAGAAGCGGUAUCCUUUUUGUUUUUUCUUUAAAAACAAAAAGAUAUAGCGGAUAGCCCGGCCGGAG
This 90-nucleotide small RNA is filed under the name Flavobacterium defluvii. RNAcentral describes it as "Flavo-1 RNA". It matches the Rfam family "Flavo-1 RNA". Lineage: Bacteria; Pseudomonadati; Bacteroidota; Flavobacteriia; Flavobacteriales; Flavobacteriaceae. The record is from RNAcentral.